UGGGGAAUAUUGGGGCAAUGGGGCGCAAGCCUGACCCAGCAACGCCGCGUGAAGGAAGAAGGCUUUCGGGUUGUAAACUUCUUUUAAGGGGGAAGAGGAGAAGACGGUACCCCUAGAAUAAGCCACGGCUAACUACGUGCCAGCAGCCGCGGUAAUACGUAGGUGGCAAGCGUUGUCCGGAUUUACUGGGUGUAAAGGGCGUGUAGCCGGGUCUGCAAGUCAGAUGUGAAAUCCAUGGGCUUAACCCAUGAACUGCAUUUGAAACUGUGGAUCUUGAGUGCCGGAGGGGCAAUCGGAAUUCCUAGUGUAGCGGUGAAAUGCGUAGAUAUUAGGAGGAACACCAGUGGCGAAGGCGGCUUGCUGGACGACAACUGACGCUGAGGCGCGAAAGCGU
Molecule: ribosomal RNA, 394 nt
Filed under: uncultured Oscillibacter sp.
Lineage: Bacteria; Bacillati; Bacillota; Clostridia; Eubacteriales; Oscillospiraceae
Description: bacterial SSU rRNA
Rfam family: Bacterial small subunit ribosomal RNA
Source: RNAcentral